CCUACGGGAGGCAGCAGUGAGGAAUAUUGGUCAAUGGGAGAGAUCCUGAACCAGCCAAGCCGCGUGAGGGAAGACGGCCCUAUGGGUUGUAAACCUCUUUUGUCGGAGAACAAAACCCGGGACGUGUCCCGGACUGCGUGUAUCCGAAGAAAAAGCAUCGGCUAACUCCGUGCCAGCAGCCGCGGUAAUACGGAGGAUGCGAGCGUUAUCCGGAUUUAUUGGGUUUAAAGGGUGCGUAGGCGGUCCGUUAAGUCAGCGGUAAAAUUGCGGGGCUCAACCCCGUCGAGCCGUUGAAACUGGCAGACGUGAGUGGGGGAGAAGUACGCGGAAUGCGGGGUGGAGCGGUGAAAGGCAGAGAGAGCGCGGAGAACUCCGAUUGGGAAGGCAGCGUACCGGCGCCAGACUGAAGGUGAGGCACGAAAGGGUGGGGAUCGAACAGGAUUAGAUACCCUUGUAGUC
RNAcentral lists this ribosomal RNA (459 nucleotides) under uncultured bacterium. RNAcentral describes it as "partial 16S ribosomal RNA". It matches the Rfam family "Bacterial small subunit ribosomal RNA", at positions 338 to 795 of the family's 1533-position model. The record is from RNAcentral.